UGGGGAAUAUUGCGCAAUGGGGGCAACCCUGACGCAGCCAUGCCGCGUGAAUGAAGAAGGCCUUCGGGUUGUAAAGUUCUUUCGGUAGCGAGGAAGGCAUUUAGUUUAAUAGACUAGGUGAUUGACGUUAACUACAGAAGAAGCACCGGCUAACUCCGUGCCAGCAGCCGCGGUAAUACGGAGGGUGCGAGCGUUAAUCGGAAUAACUGGGCGUAAAGGGCACGCAGGCGGUGACUUAAGUGAGGUGUGAAAGCCCCGGGCUUAACCUGGGAAUUGCAUUUCAUACUGGGUCGCUAGAGUACUUUAGGGAGGGGUAGAAUUCCACGUGUAGCGGUGAAAUGCGUAGAGAUGUGGAGGAAUACCGAAGGCGAAGGCAGCCCCUUGGGAAUGUACUGACGCUCAUGUGCGAAAGCGUGGGGAGCAAACAGGAUUAGAUACCCUGGUAGUCCACGCUGUAAACGAUGUCGAUUUGGGGGUUGAACUUUAAGUUUGGCGCCCGUAGCUAACGUGAUAAAUCGACCGCCUGGGGAGUACGGCCGCAAGGUUA
Molecule: ribosomal RNA, 547 nt
Filed under: uncultured bacterium
Lineage: Bacteria
Description: bacterial SSU rRNA
Rfam family: Bacterial small subunit ribosomal RNA
Source: RNAcentral